This 465-nucleotide ribosomal RNA is filed under the name uncultured bacterium. Its description in RNAcentral is "bacterial SSU rRNA". It matches the Rfam family "Bacterial small subunit ribosomal RNA", at positions 28 to 490 of the family's 1533-position model. The record is from RNAcentral.
GAUGAACGCUGGCGGCGUGCCUAAUACAUGCAAGUCGAACGCUUCACUUCGGUGAAGAGUGGCGGACGGGUGAGUAAUACAUAAGUAACCUGGCAUCUACAGGGGGAUAACUGAUGGAAACGUCAGCUAAGACCGCAUAGGUGUAGAGAUCGCAUGAACUCUAUAUGAAAAGUGCUACGGGACUGGUAGAUGAUGGACUUAUGGCGCAUUAGCUUGUUGGUAGGGUAACGGCCUACCAAGGCGACGAUGCGUAGCCGACCUGAGAGGGUGACCGGCCACACUGGGACUGAGACACGGCCCAGACUCCUACGGGAGGCAGCAGUAGGGAAUUUUCGGCAAUGGGGGAAACCCUGACCGAGCAACGCCGCGUGAAGGAAGAAGUAAUUCGUUAUGUAAACUUCUGUCAUAGAGGAAGAACGGUGGAUAUAGGGAAUGAUAUCCAAGUGACGGUACUCUAUAAGAAAG